UACAGAGGAUGCAAGCGUUAUCCGGAAUGAUUGGGCGUAAAGCGUCUGUAGGUGGCUUUUUAAGUCCGCCGUCAAAUCCCAGGGCUCAACUCCGGAUCGGCGGUCGAUACUCUCGUGCUUGAGCACUGUGGAGGCAGAUGGAAUUCCGGGUGUAGCGGUGGAAUGCGUAGAGAUCCGGAAGAACACCGGUGGCGAAGGCGGUCUGCUGGGCAGUUGCUGACGCUGAGGCGCGACAGCGUGGGGAGCAAACAGG
Molecule: ribosomal RNA, 253 nt
Filed under: uncultured bacterium
Lineage: Bacteria
Description: partial 16S ribosomal RNA
Rfam family: Bacterial small subunit ribosomal RNA
Source: RNAcentral